RNAcentral lists this transfer RNA (73 nucleotides) under Trichonephila inaurata madagascariensis. It matches the Rfam family "tRNA". Rfam says of the family: Transfer RNA (tRNA) molecules are approximately 80 nucleotides in length. Their secondary structure includes four short double-helical elements and three loops (D, anti-codon, and T loops). The record is from Rfam by way of RNAcentral. Lineage: Eukaryota; Metazoa; Arthropoda; Arachnida; Araneae; Nephilidae.
GUCCCUGUAACGCAAUGGACAGCGCGUAGGACUUCUAAUCCAAUGAUCGUGGGUUUGAAUCCCACCUGGGAUG